ACUGUAAAUAGGUUAAUGCCUCAACCAGUCUCCCCACAUCCCCUUCCCAAGUCUGCAGCUGCGAUGAGAAAGGAUGAGAGUGUGGACUGGGAUUUAAUUCAGGCGCUGACUCCGAGUGAUGGAGGUGAACAUCCCUUCCCUGCCUGUCUCAGGAUUAUCGUGAGGAUUUGGUAAGCCAAGCUAGUUAAAGAGCCCCAGGGACUUGCUUCCCAUCAUCCACCUGACAAACAUUUGUUCCCUGUCUUGUCGGGGCUGUCUUUUCAUCUGUAUGAUGGAAGGAGAUUGGGAAUAUUAGUGAACAUUCAGGACUUUGCUAGAUUUCCCAAUCUGGGUGAAGGCCGGAGAGGCGGAAGAUCAAGCUUCUGUGUUCAUUCCCUUCUGGAAUCCUGCGGUCCAACCUGAGGGCCCCGAUGUAUCCUGACUUCUCCCACUCAUUACCUUCCGUGGAGGCCGAUCCAAGCUUCAAGUCUUCAGAGGCCCUGCUGGCCUGUUCCCUUCCCUGUUGCCUGUGGCAAUAGCCCAAGAGAUUCAGGACCUAUGUUCCAGGUUCUCAAAGUUGCUAUGUCCCUCACAUGGCAAUCAAAUUCAGUUAACAUCUUUGAGGGCUCUGGGGGUGCUCAGAGGAAGGAGGGCUCCCCCAAAGCAGGUGGAGCUCUAGUCAUGACUGUGGCUUAUUUCACCACAUAUUCCACAGCUUGCUGUGGGGUAGGGAGGAGAGGCAACAGGAAACCUCAGAGGCUGCAGUGUUUAUGGGAGCCGAGGGUGAUGCGGCAUCCUUUACUCAAUAGGUGGAUGCUCUGCCCCAGGCUGGAGAGGAUGGCUU
Molecule: long non-coding RNA, 823 nt
Filed under: Homo sapiens (human)
Lineage: Eukaryota; Metazoa; Chordata; Mammalia; Primates; Hominidae
Description: non-protein coding lnc-TEX38-3:8
Source: RNAcentral